RNAcentral lists this ribosomal RNA (253 nucleotides) under uncultured bacterium. RNAcentral describes it as "partial 16S ribosomal RNA". It matches the Rfam family "Bacterial small subunit ribosomal RNA", at positions 524 to 776 of the family's 1533-position model. The record is from RNAcentral.
UACGUAGGGUGCAAGCGUUGUCCGGAAUUAUUGGGCGUAAAGAGCUCGUAGGCGGUCUGUCGCGUCGGCUGUGAAAUCCCGAGGCUCAACCUCGGGUCUGCAGUCGAUACGGGCAAACUGGAGUGUUGCAGGGGAGACUGGAAUUCCUGGUGUAGCGGUGAAAUGCGCAGAUAUCAGGAGGAACACCGGUGGCGAAGGCGGGUCUCUGGGCCGAUACUGACGCUGAGGAGCGAAAGCGUGGGGAGCGAACAGG